This 253-nucleotide ribosomal RNA is filed under the name uncultured bacterium. RNAcentral's name for it is "partial 16S ribosomal RNA". It matches the Rfam family "Bacterial small subunit ribosomal RNA", at positions 524 to 776 of the family's 1533-position model. The record is from RNAcentral.
UACGUAGGUGGCAAGCGUUGUCCGGAAUUAUUGGGCGUAAAGCGCGCGCAGGUGGUUUCUUAAGUCUGAUGUGAAAGCCCACGGCUCAACCGUGGAGGGUCAUUGGAAACUGGGGAACUUGAGUGCAGAAGAGGAAAGUGGAAUUCCAAGUGUAGCGGUGAAAUGCGUAGAGAUUUGGAGGAACACCAGUGGCGAAGGCGACUUUCUGGUCUGUAACUGACACUGAGGCGCGAAAGCUAGGGUAGCAAACGGG